RNAcentral lists this unclassified non-coding RNA (343 nucleotides) under soil metagenome. RNAcentral's name for it is "partial contains 5.8S ribosomal RNA, internal transcribed spacer 2, and large subunit ribosomal RNA". The stretch from base 1 to 120 matches the Rfam family "5.8S ribosomal RNA", at positions 35 to 154 of the family's 154-position model. The record is from RNAcentral.
GAUGAAGAACGUAGCGAAAUGCGAUAAGUAAUGUGAAUUGCAGAAUUCAGUGAAUCAUCGAAUCUUUGAACGCACAUUGCGCCCGCCAGUAUUCUGGCGGGCAUGCCUGUUCGAGCGUCAUUUCAACCCUCAGGCCCCGCCUGGCGUUGGGGAUCGGCGCGGCCCUCUCCGGGCUGCCGGCCCCGAAAACUAGUGGCGGUCUCGCUGUAGUCCUCCUCUGCGCAGUAGCAACGCUCGCACUGGAACUCGGCGCGGCCACGCCGUAAAACACACCACUUCUGAAAGUUGACCUCGGAUCAGGUAGGAAUACCCGCUGAACUUAAGCAUAUCAAUAAGCGGAGGA